UUUCUGAACGUAUGGAGUGUCAAAUUACAAUGUUAUGCUCUUGGGGGUAUUCUCAUAAGGCAAUCGAUUGAAUAAACAUACCAUAUUUUCUUUGGCUUAGUUUCAAUUUGUUCCUUUUGUUGAAAUCUGAAACCGUAGAGGGGAAAACUUUUAAGGUCAAGAAAACAUUCCUUUCUAGUACAAAUACUUACGUUAAGAGAAUUGUUUUAUCUCUCAUUUCUAUGAAAAACAUAUAUCUACUAUCUAUGAAUGUAAAUUUAGUGAUAUCAGGAAUUUGGGGCACAUGUGAGGAAAUCUUUGUGAGUGUCCCUCAUGACGGACAUUAGCAGCUGCAAAAGAGAUUGCAAUGAUAGAAUUGGUGGAAUUAUGAGCACAAAAAGAAAGCCAAAAGAUUGUAAAUGGAGUGGAAACCUCUGUUUGUUUAUGUUUCAGUUGAAUGUCUACUAUAGAUAGAGCUCCAGGCAUUUCAGUUUGGAAUGGUUUGCAUAUUCUUCUCUUAGAGCCUCUUUAUCAUCUCCUCUACAUGCUUCAGGAUUUGUUUGCUACACAACUUUUCUAUUUAUGAGCCCCUGUGAAAAGUUUCAGUUUCUCUUGCUGUACUAUAUUUCCAAAUACUUCUAGAAUUAUGGUACUCCUUUCCCUCCCAUAUGUGUUUUAUGCUUCCCCUUCCAUGUUUCAAGUAACGCUGUUUUUGAACCAUCUGAAAUUCCUUUAGUGAUGACAACUUUGUUUUCCUUGCCAACUACGACUCCUAAAUAGUGAGAGGGAUUGUCAAAUGUGUGACCCAACUUUGCUAAUGGUUAGAAUGUAAUAACAUGUACGGCCAUCUUCAUUGAACUUGUGAUAUUCAUAUUCAAGUGUUAAAGGAGACGUUUCUCAUUCGUAUAAUAUUGCUCAACUGAACUUUAAGGAAUGCAAUCUUGCCUAUUUUAGUUUUUUUUUUUUCUUUUUUUUUUUUGACUGAUCAUAUCUGGAUCUUCCUCAUGUCAUAUCUUAUGGAUUUUUAGUUUUAACAGAUUUUUAUCUACCCUAAAAAGGCAAACUUUUAUUCAUUGCAUUUAUGCAUAGCAUACACCAUGUUCGUUCCUAUAUCUAUCCUUGGUUUUCAUUUUUUCCUUCCCAACAUUCUUAUUAAUAUUUAAUUUACUUGACAAGUUAAGAACAUCAUGAGAAAGUUGGUGAGAUUGGUCAAUUAUCAGUAACCUGAUUUAAGAUUGGUACCCAUUCAUAUCAGCUUACAUGUUGGUCAUUUUAGUUUCAAGAAUGUAAGAAGAAAGUUCGGCUCUUCGAAUUCAAGAUUUCAGCCUGAAAUGUCAAUUUGCAUCCCUCUUCGAAGUAUUGACUAAACAGAGGCAAAGAAAGAAAAUUUGGAUAUGGGAGGUGGGAUAGAGGACCAUGUAUAUAUCAGAAAUGCAAUUAACAACUGAAGUGAUCAGAAACAGUUGGGUUUGACUACAAGGAAUAGAAAUUUCAGUAAGCAAACCGAUUUAGGAAUGCUCUGGCUACGAGUAAAAGGUGAUAAGGAGAGGGAAUUCUUGAAGAACCAUCUAUGGCAGCUGUGAAGUCACUGACCAGAGAAUGACAGAAGAAAUGACUUCAAAUGAAUAGCUCAUGAAGGAAUUAUGGAGGCUUUUCUCAAUUUGAAGCAGCAAAAGCACUUGGGUCAGAUGCUAUGUCAGGGAGCAAGAGUCAGAGAGAGUGAUCUCACCAAUUCGGCAGUCUGAAGCAUGUCGACAUGAUGACCUCUGGAGCUAAGAGCUCUGUAGAUUACAUCUGAUUCUUUGAAAGCAUCUGCCUCAAUCACCACUGCAUUCGCUGCUGCGCCUGCCCAGAAUGGUCUGUCAUUUUUCACCAAAACAACCUAUGUUAGAGUUGCAUCGUCUAUACUGCCACGACUUUCCAUGAAUUCUUCGGGCGAAACUCUCAAACUCAAACUUUUAAGAAAAUUAGUGGAUUCUUUUUUUUCCACUUUUCCUAAUUGUAAACAGAUUCUGAAACUAACCUCAAUCUUGCUAGGAACAACGAGAAGGGUACUGAAAAUACAAGCUUUUGUUUUUUUUUGUACCACCAGUUUUUGAGUUGAUCAAUACUUACUCUUUGAGAAUGUCUUUGAGCACAGUGCUCUUCCCAGCUCCCAUACCGCCGCCCAUGAAAAGGAG
Long non-coding RNA from Pistacia vera, 2159 nucleotides. RefSeq lists it as uncharacterized. Lineage: Eukaryota; Viridiplantae; Streptophyta; Magnoliopsida; Sapindales; Anacardiaceae. The record is from RefSeq and is a predicted model, not a curated record. The transcript is spliced from 4 exons.